ACACAUGCAGCCCAGUUUUUUCUCUGAAUAUUUCCCAUCGCAUCAGGUUGAACUGAGCACAACCUGCAGGCGCAGAGCACUGUCACUGUGCCCUGCAGUCUCCCCUGCUGGCCUCUCUGCAAAAGGACUUCUGCAGAGAAGGCACUGGCUUUUCUGUGUGGCUCCGGUAGGAAUCUAGGUCCCUGAUUUGUUGGCAUAAAAAGAACUUGCAGCUCUAGGGAGCAGCGAUUCUGACCUUUUUACCCAUGAGGCCGUCCAUCUUGGCUGGUUCUGGACUCGCUCAGCCGUUUCAACCUACUGGGGUGUGAGGGUCACAGCGAGGACACCCAGGACAAGCCCGGAGCAGACUGGAAACAGGUGUCAGUGAUGCCCAAAGCUACUUCCUGAGCAGUGAACUGGGAGGAGGCCAAAAGGAACAAAAAGACUCAGAAAAAAGAAGAGGAGGAAGUGGUGAGCGAAAGGGGAACUGUCCCACCUUCGCCAUAAGGCAGCCCCGUCGCAUCCCUGCCCAGCUGUGGGGCUUCUGUGCCAGGCUUCCUUACGCCCCUGGCUCUCACUCUCCUGGGUUUGUAAAAUGGAGUGAGGAUAAUGAGGGGGAGCAGUCAAUGAAUCUCACAGAUUCGGGGAAGCUUGAUUUGCCGGGCUGUGGAAGGACACAGAGAAAUGUGUGCUGCACGGGAAAGCCAGGAUGCAGAAGUCUUUCCAGGAGACACACCUGGGAACCCCUCACCCCCAGCCCGCAGUGCCCCAUUUGCUUCCUCCUGCUCCCCUGCCUUGUAGUCCUUUCCAGCUCCCUCACCAGCACCUGUGACCCUGCCCACUCUGCUCCAGGAGGCAGCUUAGCUCAGGAUGCAGCACUGGGCUUUGAGGACCCUGCUAUGGUUUGUAUAUGUGUCCCCUAAAGCCCAUGUGGGAAAGGCUGAGUCCCCAACCUUCAAUGGAACCUUUAAGAGGAAGAGCCUCAUGCAAUAAGAUUCGGUGAUUUGUUAAAGGAGAUUGUGGAACCCUAACCCCUUCCUCCCCUCCUCCCUCUCUGUUUCCUGGCCUCCAUGAGGUGAGCAGCCUCCUCUACCGAAGACAUCCACCAUGAAGUUCUGCCUCCCACCGACCCAAAGCCAGUGACCAACCAGCCAUGGACUGAGACCUCAGGAAUCAUGAGGCUACAUGAACCUUCCCCCCCCUGAAAGUGUAUUUGCCUCAGUGUUCACUUUUCUGCAGAGAGAAACAGAGAGAGAGAGAAAGAGGGAUCCAGCAAAAGCUAGCUGCAAAACACUUUGCCAAGACUCCCCUGGCCAGGCCUGAGGGUGAAGAGGAGUGGUAGGUUCGUUUCACAGGAGAGAGGAGGACAAAGCCCGCAGGUGCAGGCCAGCCGGCAGCCCCAGGCCCUCUCCUACUUAACCACCAGACAAGGAGGUGUCAUCGUGGAAGCUGUGAGACGGAGCCUAUGAGGGCCAGGCCAGGAAGAGAGUGGGACAGAGAGGCCCAGCCACGUGUGACAGCCCUCGGCCCGGGGGAGGCACGCCUGCUCACAGCACUGGGAAGCCGGGAAAAGAGCCAUGGGCCAGGCUUUGGAAAUGACAAACAUCUAGGUAACUCAGUCCAAGCACCUGGCCCCAUCCACCCUGCGGUGACCUCUGAGUCCUGGCUGGGUGCCGCCCACCUGCCCAUCAGCCCCCUGAUGUCUUGGGCUCCGGGCUCCAUUGGUUAGGGGUGGAUCGAUCUGGGCUCUUGAAGGAGGAACUUCACUGACAAAGGUCGGAGGCUCACAGGCUGCUAUUUAUACAUUUUUCUAAUAUUUAUUAAAUGCUAUUGACAUGCAGAGCCCAGGAGAAGGCAGAGGUGGGCAGGUCCGGUGGCAGCACGGCCUGGGGAAACUGGACACGCAUCAUCUCGAGGCUCUGAGCAAAGAUGCCCCGUGGAGCUUAGAGCCACUUGGUCCCUGUCCUUGAGGGGUGUUCUGGGAAAUGUCCACUGCACACUGAGGGACAGAGUGAACCAGAGCCUGAUUGCCAACACCAGCUCCACCAGCCGCUCCCCAACAGACAUGCUUGGCACUCCGUCACACGACAGCUGGAGGGGCGGGGGGACUGUCCCCAUGUUCUUCCCGUCACCUAACCCUGGUCAGCUGUCCCUCCCCAGGGCCAAGGCAGUGGAGGGUUUACCUCAACCCUGAAGGAAAGGCCACUGCUAGGGAAGGGCCAGGGACAGGCUGUGGGAGGGGUGGGCAGAGCAAGCGGAGACAAGGACCCGGGCAUCGUGGCUGCGGCCACCUGUGCUGCCCACUCCCCUCCUGCCAGUCAAGUGUGUGCUUGAGCCCUACAACGCACGGGUGCAGCCUUGGCGAUCGAUGUAUGGGGUGGGGGCAGCGGUCCUGGCUUCCUGCUGUGUGGAUCCGAAGCUCUGCAAGGAGGCGGCUCUCCUCAGGGCUCCUUAGACCUCCGACAUGGCCCGUGAGCACCGUGCAACGCCCCUGAAUUUCACACGACACCCCUCCAUGUGGGGCUAGCGCCCUUCUGGCAAAGGAAAGAUGUGAAGGAUCCCUGAGGAGAGGGCUGCCAGCCAUCCUCCCCUCACUGGCGCGCACCCCCAUUUCAUCAGGCCUCACCAGAUCCCCGGCUUUGGCACCAAACGUCCCCCUACUCCCCGGCACGCAUUCUUGCUCACCUCACAAAUGACUCAUGGCAGCCAGGGACUGGCCGGCAUGUCAGCACCCAUCCACCCCUUUCCCAGGUGCCACCCUGCAGAGCUCUCGAGUCAUCAGCUGUCCCUAAGCCCAGGGAGCUCCUUGAGUUACAAACCCGAGAGAGGACAUGGAAAUUGAAAUAGGAGAAGCUGCCCGGGGGGCCAGCAGGCUCCUGGGCAGCUAUGGAAAGACAGGCCAGCCAGGGCCACCACAUUAUUUAUUGGUUCUCUGGGGGAGACAUAUAUGGGUAUAAAAAUAUCCCCUUCAUAUCAUGAGCUAUACAGUCCCCUCCUCCCCCACUUUUCCACGUUACCAAGGCAUCUGCCACUUACUUGAGGACAGUCACUAGAGAUACCUAACAGGAGGCGCCUGCAUGUCCAUGUCACUUAUUUUUCACUAAGUGCCUUGCAUGAUGCGGGGUUCAGGGAAAUGGGUUCCACUUAUCAGCAGCGAGGGAAGAGCCCCUCCUGCAAGUGCGAUCUCUCACAGGGCCGCCUGGCACACUGGGCAGCGCGAAGCCGUAGCUACAUCUCAGGCGUGGGUUCCCAGAGCUCCAAGCACACGGUUCCUAGCCAGGGAAGGUAGCCAGGACUGCAGGUGUUCUGGUAAAGGAAGGGAGCAGGUCUGUCACUCCUGUGACCCCAAGAACUCCUACGCUGCCUGGCAUGGAGGGUGGCGAGAGGGCAGGAAAUGAUGUCACAUAGCCUCUGCGGAGAAGCACAACAGGCUGGACAUAAAUGCCACGCAGGGGCUGUGCUGGAGACAGGGUUUUCCAGGUUGGAUCAUGGGGCUGCUUUCCUGGAAACCGGGCUUCUAGUGGCUGGAGCAGAUAAUGCAGGGAAAUCCCUACACACAGUAUCUGUGGGGACAUCGCUUGUCAUUGAAGAGGAGCUAGGCCUUGGAAAAGGAGCAGAGUACCCUGGCCCAAGGGCUGCAGCCACCCCGGGGCUCAGGUUACCACCACAGCAGGCACCGGACCAAUGGAUCCUCCAGGACGUGCUUAGAGACUGAGGGAUGACAUCCCCCAAAGGACACAGCUGUGAGGCCCCCCAAGAUCGGCCUCUGCUCCCGACAACCAUGGACACACAGUUCCAAGGACAUUCAUGUCCCAGCAGCCCCGAGUGCAGGGUGAUAAGGGGACACAGGAAGCUACCUGGCAGGGACCAGGUCCCAGCCAGCAGGAGUGGCAGAGGCACUGACCCCCUGGCCUCCCUGUUUAGACUGUGCUGGGAGUGAGGAUGCAGCCUUUCAGGGAAAGCAGUUUGGGGGAUGCAGAGACUAAAGUCCUUGGGCCUCGCAUCCACUGAGUUCUGUCUCAUGCGGUUUUAUACCGAGGUGCCUCACAUAUGAGAAUCCUCCUGGCCUGGGAGGUAGAGGCUCAGACCCUCCCUGCACUGACAGAGCCAAGCAGACCUCUCCCUCGCAUAACCCCGACUGUAGCCUGUCUGCUGUCACCCGCGGGUACCCAAAGCUCCAGGAAGGGAGGAUGUGCUGGGACAGGAAGACCAGAACCCCCUCCAGGAGCCGCCUCCACCACGGCCCCGCCCCGUAGUUGGUCCUGGGGACCGCAGUGUCCAGGCUCUGCCACCAUCACCCUAUUUCUGCCCCAACAAUGAAUCAGAGUUAGUGGGGGCCUGGUUCUCAGUCUCCACGGAGCCUCCCCGGGAACUGACUGUCCUCCGGAGAGGAAUGGGAGUGAUGCAGGGAGCAGAGCUCUGAAGCCAGCAGCCCUGCAAGGUAAGAUGGGAAGCGGGACAGACGCAGACUGAGGAAGCCGGGCAGAAACUCCCCGAGAUGCGCUGCAGAAGACCUCCAAAUGCAGGCUCAGAAUCAUUUCAAUUUUAAAAAAGGAAAUGAAAAGGAUGCAAACGUUGAUGAAGGGGAAGGAGAGGGACCAGUUAGAAACCUGGCUACACACCGAGAUGGAUGUGCAAUUUGAAGUUUACAGACAGGUGGUCAGAUCCAUACACAGAGAGAAAGACACACACAAGAUGCAGAAUGUAUGAAAACAAAAACAAUCAAACAGCUGUUGGUGGCAGAAAUAAGUGCUCAUCAAACGUAGUGUGCUCUAAACGGCAGAGAGCAACAGUGACGAUGACAGUGGCAUUUAAAGUGUGCUGUGGUGGGUGCCAAACAUUUUUGUCAGAAAAACUAUUUUUCAGAUGGUGCUGGUGUAUUGAUCAUUUUCUUUGUGGUUUUAUAUAUUUGUGUGUGUUAAUUUAUUAGAAACAUAUUGAGACAUAAAAGCAAGGAAUUUUAAAGAGAUUUUAAUAGUUUGAAAUAGUUAUCAAAAAAUCACCAACUGUAUAAAAAGCUCUGUAAGUAAUAUUAGAGUCUUUAUGAGAACAAUGUGAUUGAAAAUCUUAGUUUUUG
Molecule: long non-coding RNA, 5056 nt
Organism: Cavia porcellus (domestic guinea pig)
Lineage: Eukaryota; Metazoa; Chordata; Mammalia; Rodentia; Caviidae
Exons: 4
Source: RefSeq, a predicted model, not a curated record